RNAcentral lists this long non-coding RNA (1095 nucleotides) under Theobroma cacao (cacao). RNAcentral's name for it is "long non-coding RNA (TCAC_LNC001950)". Lineage: Eukaryota; Viridiplantae; Streptophyta; Magnoliopsida; Malvales; Malvaceae. The record is from RNAcentral.
AAUAUCACUAUAAGCCAUUCAAUUCAAACCAUAAAUUUACAACACAAUCAAAUAGUCUCCAAUUACUCAAUUUCUAAAAUCAUCAUUCAAUUUCAAAAUGAUUUAUAAAACUCAUUUCAUUUAAUCACAUUUUACUUAUAAAACAUAAGGAUUUACCAUUUAAACUCAUUUUUCUAUAAAAUCACAAAAACGAAUAAAAACUACUUUAGAUAAUUAAGAAGAUAAUAAGGUUACUCACAAUAUCGGGAGUCGAAGUACUCCUAGUCCUGGUCUUCGGGUACAAUCUCCUUACCUUUAUCGGAAGUUUCACCACCUAAACAUAAUGCACAACAAGCAAUUUACUAUAUUUGUACUAAACCGUUAUAAAACUAAUUUAGGCUCUAUAUGAAUGCAUGAAAUGGGAUGCGAAAUGUUCGGAUUAUUAUCUAAAUAUGGUGUUCUACGUAGCUUCAAUUAUGUAUCGAAAUAAAAUGGUAUUGGCCUAAUUCGAUCUAUACACCGGUUAAUUGGCCAAUACAUCCAAUUCAACUCCAAUUAACUUGAUUCCACUUCCAACACUCCAAGUCAUCAAUUACAAGUUAAAUAAUAUGUAAUAUCACAAAAAUCCAUCAUCAAUAUCUUCCUUGUAAAAUUCAGCCAUUGAAGGUUUAGUGUAGAACAUGUAAUUUUCAUGCUUGAUUUUUACACCUUACAUCAUAAAACAACUAAAAACACCUAAAUAGCAUGAAAUUCAUCAAAGUCCAUUAUCCAAUUUCUCUCUUGAAAAUUUCAGCCAAGGAGUGUGGGUGAAGGGCAUGAAAUUUCUUGCUUGUUUUUCAUGCUAAACAUCACCAAACAACUAAAAACACUAAGAUACCUUGAAAUCUAACCAAAUAAAUCAUCAAAUCUUCUCUCCCUAAAUUCGGUCAGCCAUGAAUCCUUCAUGAGAUCUUGAAUUUUAACCAUGGUAAUUGAAAAAGAAUGCAUAGAAAAGGUAGAUCACAAGCUAGAAUUAAGAAAUUUUACCUUUACUUGCUUAAUUCCUUGAAAUCCAAUGAAUUUUCUCUUGAUUUUCUUCUCUAGGGUUUGUUCUAUGCUUUUUCCCUUUUGUUCUUG